Molecule: ribosomal RNA, 469 nt
Filed under: uncultured bacterium
Lineage: Bacteria
Description: bacterial SSU rRNA
Rfam family: Bacterial small subunit ribosomal RNA
Source: RNAcentral
GAUGAACGCUAGCGGCAGGCCUAACACAUGCAAGUCGAGGGGUAGAGUUCUUCGGGACUUGAGACCGGUGCACGGGUGCGUAACGCGUAUGCAAUCUACCUUAUACAGGGGAAUAGCCCCAGAGAAAUUUGGAUUAAUGCCCCAUAGUGUUAUCGAAUCGCAUGGUUUGAUAACUAAAGUUCCAACGGUAUAAGAUGAGCAUGCGUCCCAUUAGUUAGUUGGUAAGGUAACGGCUUACCAAGACAAUGAUGGGUAGGGGUCCUGAGAGGGAGAUCCCCCACACUGGUACUGAGACACGGACCAGACUCCUACGGGAGGCAGCAGUGAGGAAUAUUGGUCAAUGGGCGCAAGCCUGAACCAGCCAUGCCGCGUGCAGGGAAGACGGUCCUAUGGAUUGUAAACUGCUUUUUAUACAGGAAGAAACCCUCCACGUGUGGGAGCUUGACGGUACUGUAGGAAUAAGGAUCGG